GGACCUGUAGCUCAAAGGUAGAGCGGCCGCCUUUUAAGCGGCUCCAUGGAGGUUCGACUCCUCUCAGGUCCU
RNAcentral lists this transfer RNA (72 nucleotides) under Minicystis rosea. Its description in RNAcentral is "tRNA-Lys". It matches the Rfam family "tRNA". Rfam says of the family: Transfer RNA (tRNA) molecules are approximately 80 nucleotides in length. Their secondary structure includes four short double-helical elements and three loops (D, anti-codon, and T loops). Further hydrogen bonds mediate the characteristic L-shaped molecular structure. tRNAs have two regions of fundamental functional importance: the anti-codon, which is responsible for specific mRNA codon recognition, and the 3' end, to which the tRNAs corresponding amino acid is attached (by aminoacyl-tRNA synthetases). tRNAs cope with the degeneracy of the genetic code in two manners: having more than one tRNA (with a specific anti-codon) for a particular amino acid; and 'wobble' base-pairing, i.e. permitting non-standard base-pairing at the 3rd anti-codon position. Lineage: Bacteria; Pseudomonadati; Myxococcota; Polyangiales; Polyangiaceae. RNAcentral also lists the same sequence under 1 other name. The record is from RNAcentral.